Molecule: small nuclear RNA, 129 nt
Filed under: Fukomys damarensis (Damara mole-rat)
Lineage: Eukaryota; Metazoa; Chordata; Mammalia; Rodentia; Bathyergidae
Description: U2 spliceosomal RNA
Rfam family: U2 spliceosomal RNA
About the family: U2 is a small nuclear RNA (snRNA) component of the spliceosome (involved in pre-mRNA splicing). Complementary binding between U2 snRNA (in an area lying towards the 5' end but 3' to hairpin I) and the branchpoint sequence (BPS) of the intron results the bulging out of an unpaired adenosine, on the BPS, which initiates a nucleophilic attack at the intronic 5' splice site, thus starting the first of two transesterification reactions that mediate splicing.
Source: Rfam by way of RNAcentral
AUCGCUUCUCGGCCUUUUGGCUAAGAUCAAGUGUAGCAUCUGUUCUUAUCAGUUUAAUGUUAUUGUUUGUUGUCAUUUUAACUUAUUGAGAUAAAUAAAGUAGCUAAAACGGACUGAAGUGGAACUAUA